RNAcentral lists this ribosomal RNA (541 nucleotides) under uncultured archaeon. RNAcentral's name for it is "bacterial SSU rRNA". It matches the Rfam family "Archaeal small subunit ribosomal RNA", at positions 333 to 875 of the family's 1478-position model. The record is from RNAcentral.
CAGCAGGCGCGAAAACUCUACAAUGCAGGCAACUGCGAUAGGGGAACAUCGAGUGAUCCUCAUAUUGGGGGUCUGUCCACCCGUCUAAAAAACGGGUGUUAGCAAGGGCCGGGCAAGACCGGUGCCAGCCGCCGCGGUAAUACCGGCGGCUCGAGUGGUGGCCGAUAUUGUUGAGUCUAAAGGGUCCGUAGCCGGCUUUGCAAGUCUCUCGGGAAAUCCAGCGGCUUAACCGUUGGUCGUCCGGGGGGUACUACAUUGCUUGGGACUGGGAGAGGUAGGAGGUACUCAGGGGGUAGGAGUGAAAUCCUGUAAUCCUUUGGGGACCACCGGUGGCGAAGGCGUCCUACCAGAACAGGUCCGACGGUGAGGGACGAAAGCUAGGGGCACGAACCGGAUUAGAUACCCGGGUAGUCCUAGCCGUAAACGACGCUCGCUAGGUGUCACAACAGUCGUGAACUGUUGUGGUGCCGUAGGGAAGCCGUGAAGCGAGCCACUUGGGAAGUACGACCGCAAGGUUAAACUUAAAGGAAUUGGCGGGGGA